GAUCCUGGCUCGGGAUGAACGCUGGCGGCGUGCUUAACACAUGCAAGUCGAACGAAGCACUUAAGAUUGAUUCUUCGGAUGAAGUCUUUUGUGACUGAGUGGCGGACGGGUGAGUAACGCGUGGGUAACCUGCCUCAUACAGGGGGAUAACAGUUAGAAAUGACUGCUAAUACCGCAUAAGCGCACAGGGUCGCAUGACCUGGUGUGAAAAACUCCGGUGGUAUGAGAUGGACCCGCGU
RNAcentral lists this ribosomal RNA (239 nucleotides) under uncultured bacterium. RNAcentral's name for it is "partial 16S ribosomal RNA". It matches the Rfam family "Bacterial small subunit ribosomal RNA", at positions 15 to 236 of the family's 1533-position model. The record is from RNAcentral.